Molecule: unclassified non-coding RNA, 219 nt
Filed under: uncultured fungus
Lineage: Eukaryota; Fungi
Description: sequence contains ITS1
Source: RNAcentral
GUAUUGAUUGCGUGUGACCGCAAAAAUAACAUUCUACACUGUAUCAAGUUUUGUGUGAAAACGUGAGCCCUCCUGCAAAGGGGACCCACGCGGUGAUGCACAAGGGGUGAAAUGGAUGUGUGAGAGUGCUCAGGCGUGCACGACCUUUUCAAAAGUCAGCGACAACCCCAGCACCUCCAUUGUAUGAUAAUGAUCCUUCCGCAGGUUCACCUACGGAAA